GUUAUUGCUGAUGCACUGUCUCGUUGCUAUACUAUGCUUUCACAACUUGACUUCACAAUAUUUGGUUUGGAGACCAUCAAAGAUCAAUAUGUGCAUGAUGCUGAUUUUAAAGAUGUAUUGCAGAAUUGUAAACAAGGAAGAACAUGGAACAAGUUCGUCGUUAAUGAUGGAUUUGUGUUCCAAGCUAACAAGCUAUGCAUUCCAGCUAGCUUCGUUCGUCUUUUGUUAUUGCAGGAGGCGCAUGGAGGAGGACUAAUGGGACACUUUGGCAUGAAGAAGACGGAGGGCGUACUUGCUAGCCAUUUCUUUUGGCCAAAGAUGAGACGGGAUGUUGAGCGCUUUGUUGCUCGCUGCACUACAUGUCAAAAAGCUAAGUCACGACUCAAUCCUCAUGGUUUAUAUAUGCCUUUGCCUGUACCUAGUGUUCCUUGGGAGGGUAUAUCUAUGGACUUUGUUUUAGGUUUACCUCGAACAAAGAAGGGGAGGGAUAGCAUAUUUGUUGUCAUGGAUAGAUUCUCA
Molecule: ribosomal RNA, 519 nt
Filed under: Triticum aestivum (bread wheat)
Lineage: Eukaryota; Viridiplantae; Streptophyta; Magnoliopsida; Poales; Poaceae
Description: partial small subunit ribosomal RNA
Source: RNAcentral